CACAUUUAUGUGUUUAACAUAGACACAUUUAUGUGUUUAACAUAGACACAUUUAUGUGUUUACAAUACAUAUGCAGACUCUAUAUAAACACAUAAAUGUGUGUAAUAUUCAUACUGUCACCUUUUCUUACUCUUGCAAAGGUGAUGUAAUUCAAGUUUGACUUCCUUGAAACAAUUCUCGGGAUAUGUCUAGUUAUAUUAGAAGUUUAGUUGUGUCAAAUAUUGUUCUAAAAGAGACUAAAAGCAUAGGUGAGAAAUAUUCCUGGAUGUAGUGGGAAGUUUUUUUAAUUUUUAUUUUUUAAUGAGAAUUACUAAAGCAGCAAAACACAGCACAAUAUAGUAGAAAGCACUGUAGAUUUCCAAUUUGCAUAUAUUACUGCAGAGUGGAUUUUGCUACAGACCCACUGUGUGAUCUUAAUUAAUUCAUUUCCCAUCUCUGAUCCUUAGUUUUCACAUCUGUAAAACAAGAAUAAAUGUCUCCCCUACCUCAAGGCAGGUUGAAAUAGUAUAUGCUAAAGCCCAUUAAAACUUUAGAACACUAUAUAGAUUUAAGGUGGUUGCUGUUAUUUUAUACAGCUGCAAAUCACUGUAAGGGUCAUAUUUAUUCAAGCUAAUAAUAAGAACUCCAGACUUUGUACAUAAAAUGCUGUGUGUUUGAGUUUACUGGACUGAAACUCAUUUGUUUAAAAUUUAGUUUGAAAAAUAAUAAAGACCAGAAUAACAAAAAUCUUGUGGGCCCUACAUUCUUUUUCUUACUUUCCAAUAUGGCUUUAUCCAUUUGUUUCCUCCCAGCCAACUAAUUGCCAUUUUAUAAAAGUAAUCUUCCCUCACAUUUAUGUAAUCCAAUUAUAGAACCCAUUAGAAAUUAUAAAGUGGAGGCCAGGCCUGAUAACAAUAACUGUAAUCCCAAUACUUUAGGAGGCCAAGGUGGAAAGACCACUUGAGGCCAGGAGUUCAAGACCAACAGGAUGUCUACAAAAAUAAAAAAUAAAUGUGGUAAAACA
Long non-coding RNA from Homo sapiens (human), 1003 nucleotides. Lineage: Eukaryota; Metazoa; Chordata; Mammalia; Primates; Hominidae. The record is from Ensembl.